GCCGUUUUAGCUCAGUUGGUAGAGCGGUUCACUCGUAAUGAACAGGUCACCAGUUCAAGUCUGGUAAACGGCU
RNAcentral lists this transfer RNA (73 nucleotides) under Dinghuibacter silviterrae. It matches the Rfam family "tRNA". From Rfam's summary of the family: Transfer RNA (tRNA) molecules are approximately 80 nucleotides in length. Their secondary structure includes four short double-helical elements and three loops (D, anti-codon, and T loops). The record is from Rfam by way of RNAcentral. Lineage: Bacteria; Pseudomonadati; Bacteroidota; Chitinophagia; Chitinophagales; Chitinophagaceae.